RNAcentral lists this transfer RNA (77 nucleotides) under Escherichia coli. RNAcentral describes it as "tRNA-Arg". It matches the Rfam family "tRNA". From Rfam's summary of the family: Transfer RNA (tRNA) molecules are approximately 80 nucleotides in length. Their secondary structure includes four short double-helical elements and three loops (D, anti-codon, and T loops). Further hydrogen bonds mediate the characteristic L-shaped molecular structure. tRNAs have two regions of fundamental functional importance: the anti-codon, which is responsible for specific mRNA codon recognition, and the 3' end, to which the tRNAs corresponding amino acid is attached (by aminoacyl-tRNA synthetases). tRNAs cope with the degeneracy of the genetic code in two manners: having more than one tRNA (with a specific anti-codon) for a particular amino acid; and 'wobble' base-pairing, i.e. permitting non-standard base-pairing at the 3rd anti-codon position. Lineage: Bacteria; Pseudomonadati; Pseudomonadota; Gammaproteobacteria; Enterobacterales; Enterobacteriaceae. The record is from RNAcentral.
GCGCCCUUAGCUCAGUUGGAUAGAGUAACGACCUUCUAAGUCGUGGGCCGCAGGUUCGAAUCCUGCAGGGCGCGCCA